GGACCCCACUGCUAUCGGGAUGGGACUAAGACAUGCUAGUCAAGCGCCUUCCAGCCAUGUGGAAGGUGCGGCGCACAGCUCAGUAACACGUGGCCAACCUGCCCUUGAGACAGAAACAACCCCGGGAAACUGGGGCUAAUUUCCGAUAGGCGAAGAACCCUGGAAUGGGUCUCCACCCAAAGGGCGUCAGAUCAUGCUUCUGGCGUUGCUCAAGGAUGGGGCCGCGACCGAUCAGGUUGUUGGUGAGGUAAUGGCUCACCAAGCCUAUAACCGGUGCGGGCCGUGAGAGCGGGAGCCCGGAGAUGGGCACUGAGACAAGGGCCCAGGUCCUACGGGGCGCAGCAGUCGCGAAAACUUUGCAAUACACGAAAGUGUGACAGGGUCAUCCCGAGUGCCGACC
Molecule: ribosomal RNA, 400 nt
Filed under: uncultured archaeon
Lineage: Archaea
Description: bacterial SSU rRNA
Rfam family: Archaeal small subunit ribosomal RNA
Source: RNAcentral